GAUGAACGCUGGCGGCGUGCUUAACACAUGCAAGUCGAACGAAGCACUUUAUUUGAUUUCCUUCGGGACUGAUUAUUUUGUGACUGAGUGGCGGACGGGUGAGUAACGCGUGGGUAACCUGCCUUGUACAGGGGGAUAACAGUUGGAAAUGGCUGCUAAUACCGCAUAAGCGCACAGCAUCGCAUGAUGCAGUGUGAAAAACUCCGGUGGUAUAAGAUGGACCCGCGUUGGAUUAGCUAGUUGGUGAGGUAACGGCCCACCAAGGCGACGAUCCAUAGCCGACCUGGGAGGGUGACCGGCCACAUUGGGACUGAGACACGGCCCAAACUCCUACGGGAGGCAGCAGUGGGGAAUAUUGCACAAUGGGCGAAAGCCUGAUGCAGCGACGCCGCGUGAGCGAAGAAGUAUUUCGGUAUGUAAAGCUCUAUCAGCAGGGAAGAUAAUGACGGUACCUGACUAAGAAGCACCGGCUAAAUACGUG
Molecule: ribosomal RNA, 481 nt
Filed under: uncultured bacterium
Lineage: Bacteria
Description: partial 16S ribosomal RNA
Rfam family: Bacterial small subunit ribosomal RNA
Source: RNAcentral